AUUGAACGCUGGCGGCAGGCCUAACACAUGCAAGUCGAACGGUAGAGUAGCAAUACUUGAGAGUGGCGAACGGGUGAGUAAUAUAUCGGAACGUGCCCAGUCGUGGGGGAUAACGUAGCGAAAGCUACGCUAAUACCGCAUACGAUCUACGGAUGAAAGCGGGGGAUCGCAAGACCUCGCGCGAUUGGAGCGGCCGAUAUCAGAUUAGGUAGUUGGUGAGGUAAAGGCUCACCAAGCCGACGAUCUGUAGCUGGUCUGAGAGGACGACCAGCCACACUGGGACUGAGACACGGCCCAGACUCCUACGGGAGGCAGCAGUGGGGAAUUUUGGACAAUGGGGGCAACCCUGAUCCAGCAAUGCCGCGUGAGUGAAGAAGGCCUCGGUUGUAAGACGUCUUUUUGUUACGUAGGGAAGGAAACGGUAGAGAGCU
RNAcentral lists this ribosomal RNA (431 nucleotides) under uncultured bacterium. RNAcentral's name for it is "bacterial SSU rRNA". It matches the Rfam family "Bacterial small subunit ribosomal RNA", at positions 30 to 466 of the family's 1533-position model. The record is from RNAcentral.